Molecule: unclassified non-coding RNA, 405 nt
Filed under: Hevea brasiliensis (rubber tree)
Lineage: Eukaryota; Viridiplantae; Streptophyta; Magnoliopsida; Malpighiales; Euphorbiaceae
Source: RNAcentral
AAAGGUGCAAACGAGCGGAUUCAAGCUCUUUUUAUAUCCUAAGGCACGUGCCAUGGGUUGCAGAGAUAAGUUGGCUUGCCAAAGAUCGAAUGGAAUAGAGGCCUCUUCAAUCUUAUCCCCACGAGGAUACAUCACAUUAUGGUUGAUUACGCUUUUAUUGUGUGUGCAAGUGGUGUGGAAUGCAAAGGAAUUUAAUAAAAGAAAUAAUAAUAGACUAAAGGAAUCAAGUUGGAGUAACUAUCAUCAAUCCCUAGCGGAGUCGCCAAGCUGUAGGACCUUCGAACUUGGUUUAGAAUCAUAUUCCCAUGAUACUACCACAAUGCGUGGAUAUUAACGCCACAAAGGCAGAGGAAAGGAGUCGCUACCUAGGUAAUAACAGGGACAAAUUGAUAAAAAGCGAUGUGG